Molecule: ribosomal RNA, 142 nt
Filed under: uncultured eukaryote
Lineage: Eukaryota
Description: partial 18S ribosomal RNA
Rfam family: Eukaryotic small subunit ribosomal RNA
Source: RNAcentral
UGGUGGAGUGAUUUGUCUGGUUAAUUCCGUUAACGAACGAGACCUCGACCUGCUAAAUAGUUCGGCGAAUUCUUCGGGAUUCGUACGUGACUUCUUAGAGGGACUAUCGGUGGUUAGCCGAUGGAAGUUCGAGGCAAUAACA